GGGAGGACGUGGGAGCCCUCCCGGAGCUCUGCCAGCUCUCCCCAGAAGCCAUUAACCUGCCUCCGCUGGGUCUCAUCUCCUCGGAUCUGCCUCUUCUGGACAAUUCUCAUGAAUGGAAUCCUAUAAUACCUG
Molecule: long non-coding RNA, 132 nt
Organism: Lutra lutra (Eurasian river otter)
Lineage: Eukaryota; Metazoa; Chordata; Mammalia; Carnivora; Mustelidae
Exons: 2
Source: RefSeq, a predicted model, not a curated record